GUUUCUGCCAUUAAGGGGGAAGAGGCUCUUAUUUCUUUAGCAACUCCUCCCAACAUCCUCCCCUCCGAAUCGCGGCUGAUGCAAGCUAUGGAAUUCUUCAGCGAACCAGCUUUUCGGAUCUGGGGACUGAUUCUGGGUUGUGGUCGCUGCAGUCCGCGUCGGGCUCUCCUCCAUAAAUCAGCGAAGCUUUCUUCUUCCGGCACAUGGUUUUCCUGCCUCCGCUCAUCACCCUUCGGAAGACAUGGACCUUUCGGAAGAGACGGCCCUCCGUCCUGCUCGCGUUCACUCCUUCCCGAAGUUUCUUCCUCUCCCGUUUCUUCUGCUGGAGUUCGGGUUUGCAGCACACCGUGCGGUCUCCUUGUCUCAGAUCCGCCCUCUGCAGCUUCUCUAGUUUGAGAUCUGCAGGUUUCAUUUGGUCUCUGAUCUUCCACUUGAGCCUUUGGAGGUUCAGAUCUGUUAAUUGCGUGGGUUCUUUGUCCAUCAACUUGGUGGGUCUCAGCAGGUCUUCUGUUUGCGUGUAUUUGUUGUCCAUCAGUUUCGGGAGUCUGGGAUUGCAUCUGACCUGUGCUAACUCUGUUCCACGAACCAACAAAGCAGCCGCUUGGUCGAACUGAUCCUCCGUUUGGCUCGCCUACACGGCUCUCUUCAUUAGUCCCCUCUAAUCCGGUUCGAUUUUUCAGCUGACCAUUCGACCCCGGAAUGUCAGAUCUACCCGCUGCCCACCCUUCUUUAGCAGUAUUUCGAAGUUCAGGGGUGCUGUGCGACGAUGAUGCAUCUCUUCUUGUUACUCUUUUUUGAUUCUCUCCUACCGUCGGUGUCUCUCUUUGUCUGGAUUCCCCCGCACCACUCAACCUUGGUGGCGUUUUUCCUCUCCACUCAUCAUCUCUAUGUUGAUUUUGAGGUUGUAACUCUUCCCCUAAUUCUCCGUUCCCCUGUCUUGGUUCUUCAGUUAUGUCUCUAACCCCUGUUUGUAUUGUUUUAGUUGCAGAUCUUUCGUCUGUGCUAUCAUUUGGACCACCCUUCCUUGGAUUCCACCUGUUAUAGCUUUUCAAAACCGCUAGUGCUGAGUCGAUGAUAGCCGAUGCCUCUGGUUCUAUACCCCGAAAGACGGCCUGAUUUCGGGCCUUCCACAUAUUCCACAGCGUAACAGCCACCAAGUGCAGCUCUGUAUUAUCCCAUAUUUGUUUUGUCCACGGACACAGCAGGAAGAGAUGUUCGACCGUUUCUCUCUCAUAAUGGCAUAAUGGACACAAUGGAUCAGGUGAUACUUUCCUUCGAAACAGAUUGUCUUUUGUUGGAAGAGCAUUUUGACUCAGAUUCCACAUAAAAAUUCUUAUC
Molecule: long non-coding RNA, 1338 nt
Organism: Eucalyptus grandis
Lineage: Eukaryota; Viridiplantae; Streptophyta; Magnoliopsida; Myrtales; Myrtaceae
Exons: 3
Source: RefSeq, a predicted model, not a curated record